Molecule: ribosomal RNA, 366 nt
Filed under: Triticum aestivum (bread wheat)
Lineage: Eukaryota; Viridiplantae; Streptophyta; Magnoliopsida; Poales; Poaceae
Description: partial small subunit ribosomal RNA
Source: RNAcentral
AUGAAACGAAGGAAACGAUGCUCCAGUAGGAAUUUAUUAGGAAGAACAUCUACAGCCGGACGCCUUAAACCCGUCUCAUAUGCCCAGGCGGGCCGCCCGGUCACUGACCGGUCACAUUUUUUUAACCCAGACGGACGCCUCAAACGGCCCUCAAACGUCCGGGUUGACUGGCACGCCUCAUAUCCAGCCCAAAUAUGGGGUAGGUAUGUGGGCGCCCGGGCACGCUCGCCACGUCAGACUGGCGAAGGGGUCCCAGUCGAAAACGCCCUCAAACCCGGCGGUCCAAAACUCGUCUCCUCCGUCGGACCGGUGGCGCCGCAUGGUGCAGCUCUGGCGGGCCGCGUAGUGCCUUGCCCGGCUAUUUAA